GUGGGGAAUAUUGGACAAUGGGCGAAAGCCUGAUCCAGCCAUGCCGCGUGUGUGAAGAAGGUCUUCGGAUUGUAAAGCACUUUAAGUUGGGAGGAAGGGUAGUAACCUAAUACGUUGCUACUUUGACGUUACCGACAGAAUAAGCACCGGCUAACUUCGUGCCAGCAGCCGCGGUAAUACGAAGGGUGCAAGCGUUAAUCGGAAUUACUGGGCGUAAAGCGCGCGUAGGUGGUUCAGUAAGUUGGAAGUGAAAUCCCAGGGCUCAACAGGGGAAAUGCUUUCAAAAAUGCUGAGCUAGAGUAAGGUAGAGGGUGGUGGAAUUUCCUGUGUAGCGGUGAAAUGCGUAGAUAUAGGAAGGAACACCAGUGGCGAAGGCGACCACCUGGACUGAUACUGACACUGAGGUGCGAAAGCGUGGGGAGCAAACAGGAUUAGAAACCCGUGUAGUCC
This 450-nucleotide ribosomal RNA is filed under the name uncultured bacterium. RNAcentral describes it as "partial 16S ribosomal RNA". It matches the Rfam family "Bacterial small subunit ribosomal RNA", at positions 354 to 796 of the family's 1533-position model. The record is from RNAcentral.